CAUUGUCUAGAAAGAAGCAAUUUGUUUAUAGAAGACCGAUAAACACUGUGCCGACUUUCUUCCAUUGACAUACUAGCAACCAUAAGGAAAUUCACUCGUUGUCAUGUUGGAAGACAGAGUCAUGAAAAAGGAUACAGAAUAGGUCAGUUUUAAACAUAGUUGAAGAAAGUAUGGUGUGAGGACAAUAGUGACAGAGUGGGGAAUACCGAGUUGCUGGGCUGUAGUAGUGGGAAUUCUGGGCACUUGUCCCUUUAGUGUGAGGACCCUAGACACUGGGAAAUCUGAGGAGCACUAUUUAGAUGCAAAAAUGGACCAUUUUGAUGUUCUCAUCUGUAUCAGUGUUGUCAAGGAAACAGAUGACUUGCUCAAAUUAGGAUAAUUCAAAGAGUGUUUAAUAAAAGGACAAUUUUCAAAGGUAAAAGAGAGGUGUAGGGAAACCUCAAGGAUAGUGAAGUCAGGUCUUGAAACAGAGAAGCUGUAAUCAAAUUAGGCCCAAAGUGAUAAAAGGAGGAUAGAUGGCUGCUGGAACCCAAAAGGAAGAGUUGCGUAGAAAAGAUGACUUGAGAAGAUCUGUGACCUUGGUUGAGAGGACACAGCUUACCUGAGAGCCAGGGGCCUAAAUAUACUGACCUCAUACUCCUCCCUCCCUCCAAUCUCUGCCAGGGCUCCCCAUUGGCCCAACUAGAAGCCAGGGAGCACAAGAGCCUACUGGUGUAGUUCAUGAACUCAGUUUCCUGGGUGGAAAGCACAAUGGAGAAGAGCAGAGAGUGGGUCUGAAGGACAAAGAGAAGACACUGUGUCCCUUCCCUUGUUUGUCCUCUUUCAGAGAUGGUUCUGGACAACUCUAGGACUAAAACCAGAAAGAGAGAGAAGGAAACUAAGUCUGGAACAUCUGCAGAUGAUGUAAUUUGUUCCUAAGAAUUUGAGAGAUUCUGAAAACAUAAAUAAAUCAUAACUUCAGGCUUUCAAGUAAGACUUGGAUACAGCGAGCUCUCCCGGGAGGUGUUGAGGAGGGUGUUUGGAAACGUACCUUUGGCUGGUAUUGAAGGAAGAAGAGUUCUCAUUUCAACCAGUUAACUAGUUAUUUCAUCCAAGAAAUAGCAUAAUGGAAAAUAUAGGGAAAUGAGUAUUUAAGUGUUGGAGGAAAAAAAAAAAAGAAAAGGAAAGCAGACCAAGCAGGAAGAAGCAGAGGAGGUGGAGUGGGCACUUAUUAAGGGAAGCAAAGCUUUCCAGAAACCUCAGUUUAUGAUUCACUACCCAGAACUGGGUCAUAUGGUAGUUGGGCACCCCGAGCUGAGAGCGAGUCUGGAGAAGCAGACAUUUCUACCUGGGCACAGUGAUGCCCUGAACCAAAUCAGGUUUCUGGUAGAAGACAGAAACAGGCGUAGAUAUUGGGCAGGCAAUUAGCAGUGCUUCCUGUCUUACAGAAAACUAAGACUCAUAUAUGUGAAGGAAUUGAUCCAAGAAUUCACAGUUAGUAAGUGAUGGAGCUAAUAUUCACACUUGGCUUCUUUGGACUCCAAAUGCUUUUGUGUACUGGGUUAUAAAGUUAUAAUGGAAGGCUGGUGCUGGCUUCUUGCCUUAACAUGUAGCACUAAAAGACUGGUAGUUUAUCCUGUAGGAAAGGAUGGCUUUGGACAUAUGGAGAAGAAAAAACAGAAUAUUUCUAGGAGAUGAAUUUAUUUCACCUGCAGUGAGGAACACAGGAUAUUGGUUCCAGUUUUGUCACUGACUUAUAACUUAGCUCCUGGACCUGAAGCAGACCUGCAGAGAGGAUCAAGUGCAGAGACAAGCUGCUGCUGAGAUCAUCAUAGGGGACCUCUUCUAACAUAUGAGUUCCUGAGGAAGUGCUGUGACCUUCCAAUGCUGCCACUGGUAGUCUCAUUUCAAAGAGUAAAAUGUGAAAAUCCAAUGGCAGCAGCUAUUGUGAUAUGCCAGACAGCAGGAAUUGGGACUAAAAAUCAAGGGAUACUUGUGAUAAUAGAUCCAUAGUACUUUGGAGCUGGAAGAAACCCAGCUUCAAAAAACAGCUUGAUUUGCAGCUCUUCAUUCAAAAAGAAUCCCAUCCAGGGUAUGACAUUGAACUUACUCAUCACGUCUCUAUAGUGUCUUCUGGUAUGUAAUACUUUCUCAGUCUUUCUUUAUUUCCAUAACCUUGAUUAACUGUUUUGAAGAUUACUGGUCAGCAUUUUGUAGAAUGGCUGUCAGUUUGACUUUGAUGUUUUUCUUAUGAUUAUGUUAGGGGUAUGGGGUUUGAAGAAGCAUACCAUGGGAGCGAAGUGCUCUUCUCAUCAUAUCAGGGGGUACAUAAUAGCAACAUGGUUUAUCUUUGAUCAUAUUAAUCUGGAUCACUUGGUUAAGAUAGUGCCUGCGAGGUUUCUUUUUUUGAGAUGGAGUCUUGCUCUAUCGCCCAGGCUGGAC
This 2421-nucleotide long non-coding RNA is filed under the name Homo sapiens (human). RNAcentral describes it as "HSALNT0320418". The record is from RNAcentral. Lineage: Eukaryota; Metazoa; Chordata; Mammalia; Primates; Hominidae.